This 253-nucleotide ribosomal RNA is filed under the name uncultured bacterium. RNAcentral describes it as "partial 16S ribosomal RNA". It matches the Rfam family "Bacterial small subunit ribosomal RNA", at positions 524 to 776 of the family's 1533-position model. The record is from RNAcentral.
UACGUAGGGGGCAAGCGUUGUCCGGAUUUAUUGGGCGUAAAGAGCGUGUAGGCGGCCAAGCAGGUCAGCUGUGAAAACUCGAGGCUCAACCUCGAGACGUCGGUUGAAACCGCUUGGCUAGAGUCCGGAAGAGGAGAGUGGAAUUCCCGGUGUAGCGGUGAAAUGCGCAGAUAUCAGGAGGAACACCGGUGGCGAAGGCGGGUCUCUGGGCCGAUAUCGACGCUGAGGAGCGAAAGCGUGGGGAGCGAACAGG